GACGAACGCUGGCGGCGUGCUUAACACAUGCAAGUCGAACGGAAAGGCCCUGCUUUUGUGGGGUGCUCGAGUGGCGAACGGGUGAGUAACACGUGAGUAACCUGCCCUUGACUUUGGGAUAACUUCAGGAAACUGGGGCUAAUACCGGAUAGGAGCUCCUGCUGCAUGGUGGGGGUUGGAAAGUUUCGGCGGUUGGGGAUGGACUCGCGGCUUAUCAGCUUGUUGGUGGGGUAGUGGCUUACCAAGGCUUUGCCGGGUAGCCGGCCUGAGAGGGGGACCGGCCACAUUGGGACUGAGAUACGGCCCAGACUCCUACGGGAGGCAGCAGUGGGGAAUAUUGCACAAUGGGCGGAAGCCUGAUGCAGCAACGCCGCGUGCGGGAUGACGUCCUUCGGGUUGUAAACCGCUUUCGCCUGUGACGAAGCGUGAGUGACGGUAAUGGGUAAAGAAGCACCGGCUAACUACGUG
Molecule: ribosomal RNA, 468 nt
Filed under: uncultured bacterium
Lineage: Bacteria
Description: partial 16S ribosomal RNA
Rfam family: Bacterial small subunit ribosomal RNA
Source: RNAcentral